RNAcentral lists this long non-coding RNA (168 nucleotides) under Lynx canadensis (Canada lynx). RNAcentral describes it as "lncRNA (ENSLCNG00005003272.1)". Lineage: Eukaryota; Metazoa; Chordata; Mammalia; Carnivora; Felidae. The record is from RNAcentral.
GAGGCUUCUCCGGACUCUUGAGUUUUGUCCUUGGUGAGACAUGAGGCUUGUAAACAUCGUCAAGGAAGGAUCUACCCACAAUUCACUUUGAAUUCUACACAAUGCCGAGUCCAUCACUUUGUAUAAAUUCUUAUUAGCUACAGCCUGGGAAUGCCUACAGUCCAGUUU